Molecule: transfer RNA, 73 nt
Filed under: Candidatus Woesearchaeota archaeon
Lineage: Archaea; Nanobdellati; Candidatus Woesearchaeota
Description: tRNA-Glu
Rfam family: tRNA
About the family: Transfer RNA (tRNA) molecules are approximately 80 nucleotides in length. Their secondary structure includes four short double-helical elements and three loops (D, anti-codon, and T loops). Further hydrogen bonds mediate the characteristic L-shaped molecular structure. tRNAs have two regions of fundamental functional importance: the anti-codon, which is responsible for specific mRNA codon recognition, and the 3' end, to which the tRNAs corresponding amino acid is attached (by aminoacyl-tRNA synthetases). tRNAs cope with the degeneracy of the genetic code in two manners: having more than one tRNA (with a specific anti-codon) for a particular amino acid; and 'wobble' base-pairing, i.e. permitting non-standard base-pairing at the 3rd anti-codon position.
Source: RNAcentral
GCCCCUAUAGUCUAGGGGUUAAGGACGUCGGCCUUUCGCGCCGGAGGCCCGGGUUCGAAUCCCGGUGGGGGCA